ACUCUAUGAGCGGUCCCAUACAAAGUUUCUGUGAUCAUUCACAGUAGGAAUUUUGCAUCGGUAAAUUCUGAAUGAUUUGUAAGACAUUUUUGAGGAUAAUGACAAAGUGUUUAAUACUGAGCAGUUCCCUCAAAGAUUUCUUACAAGUCCUUCAAAACCUACAUAUUUACUUAAGCAAAAUUCCUACUUGAUGGUGUGAACCAGCCUUUAAUCUGUGUUUCCAUUUCGUAGGAAAGAGAAAAGAAAGAUGAAGAAGCGAAUGAAUUUGUCAGCGCUGUUUCAUGGAGAACUGUGAGUAAUUUUUGUUAUUAUAUAAUGUAAACUAAACUAACCUUUUUUAUCUUGGAUAGCUCUAUCAAUGGCUGUCACACCGAUAUUAAUUAUUGCUUCGUCUUUCUCAGGGGUCAAACGUUGUUGUGGCUGCUAACAGUCAGGGAACUAUAAAGGUACGUUGCCUUUCUUUAAAAUUAUUAUUUAUAUACCCAUUGUGACUGCUGAUUCAAGGCGGGCCAGGGGGGAGCAUUGGAGAAAAAAUAACCUUGGCAUGGAGCCAAGUAACAUGUUUUUAUGAAUUGAAAAUAAUUGUUUUGAUAAAAAAAGAAAAGGUUUUCCGCAACAGUUUUAGACUUCUUUAUUUUUUGAAAAAUAACUCCAAAACCAAGGAGAAGUAUUGAAGGAAAAAAUGUUAGACUUAAUAACAAGUAAUUUUUAUGAGUUAAAAUAAUUGUUUUGAUUAAAAAAAAGUUUUUUUGACCAUCCGCAACAAUUUUAGAAUAUUUUUUAAUUUUUGAGAAACGACCCCGAAACCAAAGGGCUGAUCACAGGACAAAAGGGGGACUAUUGAAGAAAAAAAUUCAAAUUUAUCGUUACAUUCACUUUUCCCACUUAGGUCUUAGAGUUGGUGUAACUAUGGCGCCAACAUUAAUCUCAAAGUUGCAGUUCAAUGAUGGGUUUGUUAAACCAUUUCAAGAAUACGUAUCGUGACAUUUAAUUUAUUUUUCUAAACUCGUGUGUGUAUAAACAGGCCACUGAUCUAAAAAACAAAUCUGGAUAGCCUGAAUAUGUAUAAUAAUAAGAGACUUCUAAGUCUGUCAAAUUAUUCAGCUAUCGAAUUGUUAGAUGUUUAAAAGGGCAUAUGACUCGAACAUUGACGUUGUUAUUUCUUAGUCAAUUUGAAAGAUCAUCGAAAAACUGUAGAGUAACUUCUUUGACAGAUUUUUGUUUUCUUGCUUCGUUUUGGAGAUAUUUCUUUUUGUAUGAUAUGCAAAGGACCAACUUUCUACGACAAACAUGCACAAUAACUUACUUUAAAAUGUUAUAUAAUUUUGUCACUAUCAAAUAAAUUCGCUCAAAAUCAAUGAUGAGCACGAGAUUUGUCCACAACAACACCCAUGUAGAUUUUGUACUGAUUGUGUUUAGUCGUAUUAAAGAUAUACAGCUUUAGGGCUACAUAAUUAUGCUGAUAUGUGACGUAGGAAGUUGGUCCUUUGCAUAUCAUACAAAAUGAAAGAUCUUCAAAACGAAGCAAGAAAACAAAAAUCUGUCAAAGAAGUUACUCUACAGUUUUCAAUGAUCUUUAAACUAAAUUAGACUAAAAAAAAUAACAACGUCAAUUUUCGAGUCAUACGCCCUUUAAGAGGCAAUUUUUUAAUGCCGCGCACAGAAAAAACCCGCAUAUAAGAACCAAGAUUUUCCAAAUGAGUCUAAACAGGUUCUAAAGGCCCAUUUCCACUCAAGAAAAAUUUCCAUGGACAGAAAAUUUUCCGAAAAUAUCAUUGUUAAAACCUCAAAAAUUUUUUUCCGACGGAAAAUUUGUGUCAGCCAAUCAAAUUGUACAAAAUUUUCUUUCUGCGGAAAAUUUUCCUGAGUUGAAAAGGGCCUUUAUAUAUGUAAAUGUUCUUAACAGGAAAUUAGGCAAAACCAUUGAAAUGAAUAUAACUGGAACGCAACCUUCAUAAACUGCCUAGGCCAAAAAAAAAUAUGUGGGUUUCCGGUUUUUUCUUAUGAAAACUUAGGUGGGGUAGGUCGGUUUUAACCUUUUUUUUUAAACUUUUUUUUUAAUUUUCCGAACAAGCGGACGCCAUUUUGUUUAGUCAGUGCUUCCACAUCAAAAGAUAAAUUUCCCUAAUAUUGCCUCAAAUUUCAAUUUUCCACAAACUUUUUCCUCUAAGUGGAAACACUUACAAGCAUGAUCCAAUAAAAAAGUUUAGGGUCGGGAUUUUGACGUCCAAAAGCUAGGUAGGGUCGGAAAACCGGAAACCCACAUAUUUUGUUUUGGCUAUAUCUUCUUGAAACCAAAUCUGACCUUCCUGAAAACAUAUUGAACUGUAAUGUUCCAGGGGGGUGAAUGUCUCUCUUCAUUUAUGCAUAGCGGGUGCGCUAUCCAGUGCUAGGUUUCAGAUCAGUGUCUCAGACGGUGGGGGAGAUAUUAUGCAAUCAUGGUGGACUCUCUCCCUCAGACUUUUUAGCAUUGGCAGAAAUAUUUGUCUCCAUGCAUGUCGUAUAUAAAACUGGCUAUGUACACAUUUGGCUAACAUUUGUUUCAACCCAAUUUACAACUUUAAAAACUCGCAUGCUUAAUUAUCAUUGUUCUAGUAUACAGAAGCAUAGAAUAGAGUAGAACAAAGGCAACUAUAAACUUUAGAAUUAUCUUCACAAGUGAAUAACUCUGUAUCAAAAAAAUGUACACCCUUUCAAAUUCAAAUUAUAUACAGGGUGUCCCCAAAAAAGUACAGGCACAGGAUUUUAUGCGACUGGUAAUUAAAAAUUCAAUUCAAUUAGCCUUUCUCACGCCGCCAUUUUUGGUGUACUGUAAUUUUUCGUAAACGAUUAUAACAAUGUGAAAAGCAAUAUUUCAGAACAAACCAAUGGAACAAACUAACUAUUUGCAGAGUAAAUUUACCAUCAUACACCCAUAAAAUUAUAAAAUGUCGCCGUUACGAGGUGUUACCUUUGCAGGAUUGGCAAAAAAGUACCCCAUGUGCAGAAGACCUUGUGUUUUCACGCAUUCAUUAAUUCGAGAAAUUAUACGGCUGUCAUAUUGCUACAAUAGGUUACGGUUAAUUUGAAAGGGUGUACAUUUUUUUGAAACACCCUGUAUAUAAUUCUAAAGCUUGUUUACCUUUGUUCUAUAUUCUAUGCUUC
This is a non-coding RNA of Paramuricea clavata, 3144 nucleotides long. NCBI's taxonomy places the organism in Eukaryota, Metazoa, Cnidaria, Anthozoa, Malacalcyonacea, Plexauridae. The record is from the annotation of a GenBank genome assembly.